CGCUAGACUCUCCGCAUGACAGUCAAAGGAACAGCGUCCUCACCUUCCUAUGGAGGAGUCGCGGUCGUCGGGUCUGCGAGAAGCAAAAGACCUGGCACAAAAGGCCAGGGUCAGAAGGAGACUUACCCAGGAUGAGUGGUGCAACAAGGAGGGCUAUAAAGAGGACAUCCAUUCUGGGUUUUGCACUAUCACUGUACUCCUAAGGAGCAACCCGUCCUCAUACAAAUGAUGAUUCCUGCUAAUAUGAAAUCUGAGGAAAAGACACCACUCAAGUUUAUUUUCCAGACUAUAAAUGAAGGAAGUAUGACA
This is a non-coding RNA of Mus caroli (Ryukyu mouse), 309 nucleotides long. The record is from RefSeq and is a predicted model, not a curated record. Lineage: Eukaryota; Metazoa; Chordata; Mammalia; Rodentia; Muridae.